GACGAACGCUGGCGGCGUGCCUAACACAUGCAAGUCGAACGAAGUGGCGAACGGGUGAGUAACGCGUAAUCAACCUGCCCUUCAGCGGGGGACAACAGUUGGAAACGACUGCUAAUACCGCAUACUGAAGGUGGGGCUUGCGUGCGUUUAGUUAGUUGGGGGGGUAACGGCCCACCAGGGCGAUGUUCAGUAGCCGGUCGGAAAGGUUGAACGGCCACAUUGGAACUGAGAAACGGCCCAGACUCCUACGGGGGGCAGAAGUGGGGAAUCUUCCGCAAUGGACGAAAGUCGGACCGAGCAACGCCGCGGGGGGGAAGAAGGUUUUCGGAUCGUAAAACUCUUUUGUUGGGGAGCGGUAUCUAACCAGAAAGCCACGGCUAACUACGUGCCAGCAGCCGCGGUAAUUC
Molecule: ribosomal RNA, 407 nt
Filed under: uncultured bacterium
Lineage: Bacteria
Description: partial 16S ribosomal RNA
Rfam family: Bacterial small subunit ribosomal RNA
Source: RNAcentral